CUCCGAAGAGCUGUGGCAAGGGGUGAAAAGCCAAUCUAACCUGGAGAUAGCUGGUCUUCUGCGAAACCCGUUUUAGCGGGUCGCCCAUUUAUUGAAAUUAAAUUCGUUACUAGACGGUACGGCACUGGAAGCCACGCAGCUUUUGCUGCAUAAUCGGGGGGCUGUCAUGGCUCUAUCGAUGGCUUCUAACCCCGGAAAUGUAUAGUAUACAAUGAUGGGCAAUCAGACGUAUCGUGAUAAGGCGAUUCGUCAAAAGGGCAACAGCCCAGAACAGGUGUGAAGGUCCCUAACAAGCUACUGAGUGAACACAAGGCAGUCCUCUCCAGUGUCUCUCCACAAAGUGGGCUUGGAAGCAGCCACCUUUUAGCGAUAGCGUAACAGCUCAGUGGUCUGAGCCUCCCUGUAAAAAGGGUAUAUUGCCUGGUGAGGGCGCCAAAAAUGUAACGGGUCUAUAGUAGUUGUCUCUCUGUUCCAGCUUUGGAUAUGGAGGGAGUGGCAGUUUCUUUACUGUCUCACCGAAACCCUGUCCUAGAUGUAAAAUUCUAGGGGUAGCAGAAUACCCAGCAAAUGGAAUGAAGCUUGCUCAUUGAGCCGGUGGACAUAGCUGGGCUAAGAAUGCUGACAUGAGUAGCCUAAAAGGAGGGUAAUUCCCUCUUCGCCGAAAGCAGAAGGGUUUCAUUUGUAAGGUCUAUACCUAGAUGAUUAAAGCAGCGGCCUCUAAGGUUCAGAGUAACAAAUUAGUUCCGAUGAGUAACUCUUCUAUAGGGCAGUAACCUUCCUUAUAAGUUUACCUUCAAGUAAUUAGAGGUAUACUUCAAAGAGUAAGGUUCGGGAAAGAGCCCUACAGAAUCAAUCUUAAAACCGUACCCUAAACCGACACAGGUCUGCAAGUAGAGCAUACUAAGGCGUAGAGAUAAUCGUCUUGAAGGAACUCGGCAAAAUGACCCCGUAACUUCGGGAGAAGGGGUGCCACUAAUAAGUGGCGGCACUAAACAGGGGGGCGCGACUGUUUACUUAAAACACCGGACUCU
This 1031-nucleotide ribosomal RNA is filed under the name Rhizophagus intraradices. RNAcentral's name for it is "partial large subunit ribosomal RNA". It matches the Rfam family "Bacterial large subunit ribosomal RNA", at positions 799 to 1824 of the family's 2925-position model. Lineage: Eukaryota; Fungi; Glomeromycota; Glomeromycetes; Glomerales; Glomeraceae. The record is from RNAcentral.